Molecule: long non-coding RNA, 2584 nt
Filed under: Lupinus angustifolius (narrow-leaved blue lupine)
Lineage: Eukaryota; Viridiplantae; Streptophyta; Magnoliopsida; Fabales; Fabaceae
Description: long non-coding RNA (LANG_LNC001368)
Source: RNAcentral
GUGGUCGCCGAGCUUCUCUCCCUUCAAUCCAGAUCCAAAUCUGGCGUCAUUCACUUCAACGACCAAUCCCUUUCUCGUUUCAUCUCUUCCGUCAAAACCCCUCGUCCCUAUUCUCUUCUCUUCUUCUUCGACGCCGUGCACCUCCACGACAAAUCGGAGCUCCACCUCCUCGAACUCCUCAAAGAAUUCAACCUCGUUUCAUCUUCUUUCAUCGCCAACAAUAUCGAUAACCCUGACGCUAUCAGUAAGAUCUUCUUCUGUCACAUUGAAUUCAAAGAAUCUCAAUUCAGUUUCUCACAAUUCGGCGUCAACACUCUCCCUCAUAUUCGCAUUGUGGGACCCAAUCAGGGUUUCAAGGAUUCAGAAGUAAUGGAGCAGGGUGAUUUCUCUCGUUUUCCUGAAUCAUUGGUUGAAUUUAUUGAAUCGAAAACGAAACUCUCUGUGGGACCCGUCGUUCGACCUCCUUUUCUAUCUAGAAACCAGAUCAUUCUCAUUGUGCUUGGGAUCUUGGCUUGGAUUCCGUUUUAUGCGAAAAGAGUUAUCGCGGGUAGAACUCUGUUUCAUGACCCGAAAGUUUGGCUAGCGGGUUCUGUGUUUGUUUACUUUUUCAGUGUUUCUGGUUCUAUGCAUAAUAUCAUAAGGAAGAUGCCGAUGUUUCUCGCGGAUCGCAAUGAUCCGUCGAAGAUUGUGUUCUUUUACCAGGGCUCAGGGAUGCAGCUCGGCGCAGAGGGUUUUACUAUUGGAUUUUUGUACACUGUUGUGGGUUUGUUGUUGGCUUUUUUGACACAGGGGCUUGUGAAGUUGAACAAUGUGGCUGUGCAGAGGGUUGCUAUGAUUUUCGCGCUGUUGGUUUCGUUCUUGGCUGUUAAACAGGUUGUGUUUUUGGACAAUUGGAAGACAGGUUAUGGGAUUCAUGGAUUUUGGCCUUCUGGUUGGAAUUGAGGUUUGCCAUUAUCAUACGAUUUCGUUUGUUUUCAUCUUUCAAUGGAUAAUUAUAAACUUUAGGAAGAAUGCUUUAUGUUAAGACUCUGCCAGGAAUAUAUGUAACUUGUUACUGCCCUUUUUGUGGUGCACUUGAAUUUUAGACAAUUUUACGUUAUAAAGUUGAAUGUCUGCCUUUUGAUUAUAAUCCAGGGGUGUCUAUUUUGUUUGGACUUGUUAUGUUUCAUGUAGGAAUUGGAUACUGUUGCGUUGCAUGUUCGUAUAAAUGUUCUUCUGAAUUGAUUGUUAUACCGUUACUUGUUAAUCAUGCUCUUAAAACUGAAUAUACAUAGACCUGUACUGUUGUGCCAGUGUGUGAUGGAUAUUGAAGUAGUUUAUAGGAUUUGGAUGGUUUGAUUGUGUAGGGUGUAUCCAGGGAUGACAAAAUCAAUUGUUUUUUGUUUAAUAAAUUCUGCACAAAAUGUUAAGUGGCCAUGGAUCCCCAAGUAAAUGUGAAUAUGCGAUAAAUGAUUUCAUUUAAAAAAAAUCCGCACUUUUUUGUGUUUAUGUACAUGUUUUGAUAUCAUAUCAAUUAAGCUCAAGUAUUAAGGUAUACGGAUCUCAAGUAACUUAAAUCAUAACAUUUCUUUUUAAUUUUCAAUUCCAUUGGGGGAAAAUGGUUCAUCUGGAGGACUUUUUUUCUUCUUUUGGGGUUAAACACAUGGAUCAAGUUGCUGUAUUUGACUCACCUCAUCCUUAUUUAAUAUUUCAUCUAUAAUAGUCUUGGUCUUUAUUUGUUCUACUAAUCCUAGCCAUAUGUAAAUUAUCAAUUAAAAAUUCUUGAUAGUUUAAUUUAGUUGGUUAAUUUAUCACGCAUAAUAGAAGUAAGUGUUUCAGUUAAAAUCUUCAAAAAUUUUAUAUUUCCAUGAUGAAAUAAGGUAAUGAAGGGGCUAAUAAAUGAAAAAUAACUUUUUAGUUCAUAAGCCUAGCUUAUAAUUCUUAUUUUUAUAACUAAAAUAUCCCUAAAUAAUUAUUUCCUUUCAAAGUAUAAUUAACAGCACGUUGGUCUAAUAACAUAAAACAACAUUACAUCUCAAAAUCAAAUAUUUGAUUUCUGAGAGCCAACACUUAUUACGAAGGAAGUCGUAGUUAAGAUUAGUUCCAUACUCUUGGUCGUGCCAGGAAUCGGACUUUUAACCUGGUCCUAUAGUUUAUAAGUCUUCUUCACAGAGAGAACUCACAGAACAAAACCUUGUUCAUUUCUAUUUCUCCCAACAACGACAAUGGCUUUCUCUCAGAAGCUCUCACUCCUCUUCCUCCUAAUCGCUCUCUCCUCCUUCUCCUCCACCACUUCCGAUUCAAACGACGACGUGGUCGCCGAGCUUCUCUCCCUUCAAUCCAGAUCCAAAUCUGGCGUCAUUCACUUCAACGACCAAUCCCUUUCUCGUUUCAUCUCUUCCGUCAAAACCCCUCGUCCCUAUUCUCUUCUCUUCUUCUUCGACGCCGUGCACCUCCACGACAAAUCGGAGCUCCACCUCCUCGAACUCCUCAAAGAAUUCAACCUCGUUUCAUCUUCUUUCAUCGCCAACAAUAUCGAUAACCCUGACGCUAUCAGUAAGAUCUUCUUCUGUCACAUUGAAUUCAAAGAAUCUCAAUUCAGUUU